This 367-nucleotide long non-coding RNA is filed under the name Cyanistes caeruleus (blue tit). RNAcentral describes it as "lncRNA (ENSCCEG00000019741.1)". Lineage: Eukaryota; Metazoa; Chordata; Aves; Passeriformes; Paridae. The record is from RNAcentral.
UAAUUACACUAGCACAUGUGGGAUACAGGCAGAAUCUGAGGUACACUGAACAUAUUCACAGCUCUCUGUGCAAAGGAAGUGUGCCAUCAGCCUGUUCAUCAUCAUGUCAUCAGGUUCUCCUCUAUGCUCACAGCUGAUUCCAAUGGAUAGCUCCCUCCUCCCAGAACUCAAUUUCACUGCCACUGAACCAGUGAUAAAACCUGAGCACUGACAGAUGAACAACUGGUGUUCUUGAAGGGGAAGAGGAAAACACACCUUGCAAAUACUGCUUUGAGACAGUCAGAUGGUGCGUUCUCCCUAGUUACACAGACCAAACCCUGUCUAGCUCUUGGCAGUGUGUAUGACUGUACUAGCAAAUUUAAGGAUA